Molecule: long non-coding RNA, 1150 nt
Filed under: Equus caballus (horse)
Lineage: Eukaryota; Metazoa; Chordata; Mammalia; Perissodactyla; Equidae
Description: lncRNA (ENSECAG00000049579.1)
Source: RNAcentral
GUUAAGAAGAACAGAGUGAUCUGGAGUAUUUCAAAAUGGCUCCUUCCCCCUGCCUCUGCUGGCAGCUCAAGGGGAUUUUUCUCUGAUAUUUACUAUGGGAGCCUAGUUGGCCUCACGGUGUUUGAGCUCAAGGUGGUAAAUCUCACAAAACUGUGGGGGCCCCCUAUGACUUGGUUCCCCCGGAGUUUUUUAUUCUCAGAUGUCCACAAUGAACCUCCAGCAUUUUCAUCAAUUUCAGCCUGGUUUCCCUACCCUGACUCUGCUUCAUGAGUUCUGGAAGCUAGAAGUCUGAAAUCAAGGUAUCAACAGACGAUGCUCCUUCUGAAGGCUCCAGGGAAGACUCUCCCCUUGCCUCUUGGAGCUUCUGGGUGCUGCUGGCCAUCAUUGCUAUUCCUAGGCUUGGAGCUGCAUCACCCCAAUCUCUGUCCCUUCUUCACACAGCCUUCUCCUUUGUGUGUAAAUAUCUCCACUUGUUUGUGUCACUUCCUAAACGGAGACCAGUGCUUGGAUUUAGGGCUCACUCUGAUCUAAUGUGACCUCCUCUUAACUCGAUUAUACCUGCAAAGAGUAUUUCCAAAUGAGGUCACAUCAACAGGUGCCAGAUGGACAUGACUUUUGGGGAGACACUACUAUGAAAACCAUGCUUAGCUCAAAGGCCAUACAAAAACAGGCCACAGGAUGAAUUCCGCUCACGUGCUAUCAUCUGCUGACCCCUGGUAUGAGUAUUGUAAUGUCAAACCAAACUUAGAGUAAACUCAAAGAUUUUAUUUCCGACUGUAUAACAACUAGGAAAAGGUCAAAUAUUUUAAAAAGUCAUUUUCAGAGACUGGCGCAUUUUGUCAUGUAUAGCACACCAGGGACCGCAUCCAGUUGAGGAAGCUAGAAGCAGAGGAGGUAGAAUGAACCCUAAUAAUAUGUGAUUAAAAAACAGAGUCCUGUCAAGUGAGGCAAAACAACCAUAAUUUGAGAUGGCUAGCAUUCUUAUUUUUACUUCAAAAAACAAACAAAAAAAAGUGUUUUUAUGUUAACAUCUGAAUUCAUCACUAAAAAGUUCAGAUAAAAAAAUUCUGAUGCCAGGAUAAAAUAAUGAAUUUUAGCACUAUAGUUUCACUGACAGAGUCAGAGACAAUAUUAAGUAGUAAUAAAAGUA